Molecule: ribosomal RNA, 412 nt
Filed under: uncultured microorganism
Description: bacterial SSU rRNA
Rfam family: Archaeal small subunit ribosomal RNA
Source: RNAcentral
CAGCCGCCGCGGUAAUACCAACCCCGCGAGUGGUCGGGACGUUUAUUGGGCCUAAAGCGUCCGUAGCCGGCCCGGUAAGUCCCUCCUUAAAGCCCACGGCUCAACCGUGGGAGCGGAGGGAUACUGCCGGGCUAGGGGGCGGGAGAGGCCGGGGGUACUCCUGGGGUAGGGGCGAAAUCCUAUAAUCCCAGGAGGACCACCAGUGGCGAAGGCGCCCGGCUAGCACGCGCCCGACGGUGAGGGACGAAAGCUGGGGGAGCAAAGGGGAUUAGAUACCCCCGUAGUCCCAGCUGUAAACGAUGCAGGCUAGAUGUUGGGCGGGCCUCGAGCCCGCCCAGUGUCGUAGGGAAGCCGUUAAGCCCGCCGCCUGGGGAGUACGGCCGCAAGGCUGAAACUUAAAGGAAUUGGCGGG